GACAGAGGGUGCAAACGUUGUUCGGAAUCACUGGGCGUAAAGCGCGUGUAGGCGGCUUAGCAGGUCGGAUGUGAAAUCCCAGGGCUCAACCCUGGAAGUGCAUUCGAAACCGCUUCGCUAGAGUUCUGGAGAGGAAGGUGGAAUGCUUGGUGUAGAGGUGAAAUUCGUAGAUAUCGAGAGGAACACCGGUGGCGAAGGCGGCCAACUG
This 208-nucleotide ribosomal RNA is filed under the name uncultured prokaryote. Its description in RNAcentral is "partial 16S ribosomal RNA". It matches the Rfam family "Bacterial small subunit ribosomal RNA", at positions 524 to 731 of the family's 1533-position model. The record is from RNAcentral.